AUGCUAAUUGGCACCAUGGGAGUGGGACAGAAAUGAUAUUUUCAUAAAAUUUAUUUCGUCGUCCCACCCCAACUCGCUUUGCCUGUAGAAUUUCUUUUCGAAAUUCUCUGUGUUGGGGCCCACACCCCAACUUGCAUUGUCUGUAGAAAUUGGGAAUCCAAUUUCUCUUUGUUGGGGCCCCUGACUAGAAUUGAAAAAAGCUUGUUACAAGCGCAUUUUCGUUCAGUCAACUACUGCCAAUAUAACUUCGUAGAGCAUAGAACAUUGAUUUAU
Molecule: small RNA, 273 nt
Organism: Staphylococcus aureus subsp. aureus NCTC 8325
Lineage: Bacteria; Bacillati; Bacillota; Bacilli; Caryophanales; Staphylococcaceae
Rfam family: Staphylococcus sRNA 35 (srn_0335)
About the family: Other name: Srn_0335, SAOUHSCs258.
Source: Rfam